GGGGUCGUAAUGGAUUUGACAGCGAUAUCAAAAAUUAAGUGUAAGCAUGUCGAGAUUUGUGGUGAAUCUCGUAAAUAUAUUGCUACAAAAUAUAAUUGACAAUACGUCAUACAGACUUGCUGCUUAAUUAAUGGAAUGUUAACUAAGCUUAAUCUAGUGGAAUAAUAGUACACAGACAAGUUCCCUUUCUCUACUCUAUUCUUGUUAGUUUAGGACUAAAAGGGAUCAUUCAAACAAGAUAAGGUCAUCGACACUUCUAAGGUGUCCUGAAGUUAAGAAGUUAAGCAUAUUUUUUGGGUGUCUAUGUCCUAGAAUAUGUCGAAAACUAAUCAAUGACUAAGCAUGUAGAAUCCUUAAUUAUUGGUCGUUUGGACGAGGGUUCGAAUCCCUCCGACUCCACCA
RNAcentral lists this transfer-messenger RNA (402 nucleotides) under Crocinitomicaceae. RNAcentral describes it as "UBA4466 sp002709305 Standard tmRNA". It matches the Rfam family "transfer-messenger RNA". From Rfam's summary of the family: Bacterial tmRNA, also known as 10Sa RNA or SsrA, is named for its dual tRNA and mRNA-like properties. Its role is to liberate the mRNA from a stalled ribosome. RNAcentral also lists the same sequence under 2 other names. Lineage: Bacteria; Pseudomonadati; Bacteroidota; Flavobacteriia; Flavobacteriales. The record is from RNAcentral.